CCCUGAGGGACCAACACAAUGUAAGGAGCUGGACCUUGUGCACUCUUGCUCCUCUCUUGCUGCCUCCUUAUCUAACUUCUGCUCAGUCACCUCUGCAUUCUACCUGUAGAAAAGUGACUCAACAUCAUUCCAGAAGUCCGGAAUUCUACAAGAAUCAUAUUAGAAAGAGCCACUGUACUUGAAAGAAAGCAAUCAUCUCUGAGAGCUCUUCAAUUACAACGAAAUUGUCAGCUAGAUAGAAGGAAUUAAUACUAGUGUUUGAUACCACCUUACGAUGACUAUAGAAAAGUAUCCACUGAAAAUAUGACAAGAAAGAAAGAAAAUUGAAAACAUCUGCUGCUUAUGUGAGGUCAACUAUUUAAUGAAUUCUACAUCACCCAGAGAGACUUUCAGGGGGUAUAAAU
Molecule: long non-coding RNA, 404 nt
Filed under: Homo sapiens (human)
Lineage: Eukaryota; Metazoa; Chordata; Mammalia; Primates; Hominidae
Description: HSALNT0373847
Source: RNAcentral